RNAcentral lists this ribosomal RNA (538 nucleotides) under Bifidobacterium longum subsp. infantis. Its description in RNAcentral is "bacterial SSU rRNA". It matches the Rfam family "Bacterial small subunit ribosomal RNA", at positions 157 to 710 of the family's 1533-position model. The record is from RNAcentral. Lineage: Bacteria; Bacillati; Actinomycetota; Actinomycetes; Bifidobacteriales; Bifidobacteriaceae.
CGGGUGGUAAUGCCGGAUGCUCCAGUUGAUCGCAUGGUCUUCUGGGAAAGCUUUCGCGGUAUGGGAUGGGGUCGCGUCCUAUCAGCUUGACGGCGGGGUAACGGCCCACCGUGGCUUCGACGGGUAGCCGGCCUGAGAGGGCGACCGGCCACAUUGGGACUGAGAUACGGCCCAGACUCCUACGGGAGGCAGCAGUGGGGAAUAUUGCACAAUGGGCGCAAGCCUGAUGCAGCGACGCCGCGUGAGGGAUGGAGGCCUUCGGGUUGUAAACCUCUUUUAUCGGGGAGCAAGCGAGAGUGAGUUUACCCGUUGAAUAAGCACCGGCUAACUACGUGCCAGCAGCCGCGGUAAUACGUAGGGUGCAAGCGUUAUCCGGAAUUAUUGGGCGUAAAGGGCUCGUAGGCGGUUCGUCGCGUCCGGUGUGAAAGUCCAUCGCUUAACGGUGGAUCCGCGCCGGGUACGGGCGGGCUUGAGUGCGGUAGGGGAGACUGGAAUUCCCGGUGUAACGGUGGAAUGUGUAGAUAUCGGAAAAAAAACA